GGAAACCACGGUGAGAAGGAGGCAGGUUGGGCACGUGCAGGGACCACGCUGCAGGGAGGACGGGAGCCGAGUCCCAGAGGAGACACAAGGAAGAGACCGCGUCUCCUGUUCCUGUCCCUGUGGGGCCCGUCGGUAAUGUCCAGAGCCCAGGCAGCCUUCUUGUGACCAUGAGGCCUGCUGUCUGAGGGCAGAUGAACUGAAAGGUGGGCCUUUGAUGCGGCUGUCGAGCAUCUGAACUUAGCAGCCUUGGAAUCCACUCUGUGUCCAGGCUUCUUGUUACUUGAAACACCUUUCACCCUUCUGUGCUUGGUGGUUUUCUACUCAUCAUUGAAGACUCAAGCCUGUCGGUCCCCCAUGCAGUUAAACCGGAUCAAGAUCUGCGGGUGCCUUUCACAAAGAGAUGAGUUAGGCAUUGUUGCCGCUGGAGGGCCUGUGGCCACUGCAGUGUUUCCAGGAGACCUCGUUCAGAGCAGGGCGCCGCACCCCGAGGCUGCUCCCUAACCCUACUCCAGGGAGGCGCGGUUGGGGGUCUGGCAGCCUCCAGCUCUCAGCACCCAGGCAGCACCCAGGCCGCUCCCUAACCCUACUCCCGGGAGGCGCGGUUGGGGGUCUGGCAGCCUCCAGCUUGCAGCACCCAGGCAGCACCCAGGCUGCAGCGCGUUUAGCCCUCAUGGCAGCCCGUUGUGGAGAGGAGAGGCAGACGAGCGCUCCAGGGUCGUGGGGAAGCUCCCAGGGCCACGCGGCUGGAGGAGCUGCACCCGGCACCUUCUCAGGGGAGUCAGGGCUGGAUGUCUCUACAGCAGGAGACGGAGGAGCUCAGGAGCCGGCGGGGACAGCAGAACUCUGCCCGCACUCGGGGGAGAGUUGGAGGGUCCACGUCUGCUCCAACAUCCUGUGCAAAAGCAAGACAUUCACAGCCAAGGAAGUGCAUGAUUUCUGAAUGUUGUGUGAUGUUGCUUUGAGCGGAAAAUAGAGGGGGACGGGGACCGGGCUGUGGGAUGUGUGGGGUUCCGACUGCCCGGACCUGGGGCGUCCGCCUGGCAGAAAAUAAACCAGGUCCCUACUGUGUUCCUCUCUGCUGUGGCCGCCUUAACACAUAUCACAAGCAGAGGCUCCAGCAACACUGAGCGAUUACCUGGCCGCCCUGGGCUCAGAAGCCCAACAUGGAUCUCACUGGACUCAAGCCACGGUGUGGGCAGGGCUGAUUCCUGCAGCCUUCAGAGGAAGGCCCGUCUCCUGCUCAUUUGGUGGCCACAGAAUUCAGUGCCUCGUGGUUGUAGGACUGAGAUCUGUGUUCUUGCUGUGUGUGUCAGCCGGAGCCCCCCAGCACCCAGAGGCCACCGCUCUUCUCAGUCCUGGCCCCUCGCUCCAUUUUCAAAGCCAGCAACGGCCAGUCAGGCCCCCUCACAUGGAUGCUCCACUGGCACUCAUCUCUGAGCAGGGCUGGGAAACCCGUUUGGUUAUUACAGAAACAGGUGAUUGAAGGUCAGCCUGGAUAAGCCGGGUGCUCUGACCCUCCACGUCUGCAACCCCAGUCCCACCUGCGAAGUCCAUUUUGCCACAUAAAAUAACAUGCUCCCAGUGUCAAACUCAAACGAGCACACAGAGAGGCAUUUUUACGUAAGACGUUUUGUUUGGGAAAAUAACAGAAUUGAGGCCUGGUGC
Gorilla gorilla gorilla (western lowland gorilla) is the source of this 1665-nucleotide long non-coding RNA. RefSeq lists it as uncharacterized. The record is from RefSeq and is a predicted model, not a curated record. Lineage: Eukaryota; Metazoa; Chordata; Mammalia; Primates; Hominidae. The transcript has 4 exons.